AACGAACGCUGGCGGCGCGCCUAAUACAUGCAAGUCGAGCGAGAAGACGUAGCAAUACGUUUGUAAAGCGGCGAACGGGUGAGGAAUACAUGGGUAACCUACCCUCGAGUGGGGAAUAACUAGCCGAAGGUAGCUAAUACCGCGUACGCUCCUUGGACUUCGGUUCAGGGAGGAAAGACGAUACCGUGGGUAUCGCGCUCUUGGAUGGGCGUCAUGUCCUAUCAGCUUGUUGGUGAGGUAACGGCUCACCAAGGCUUCGACGGGUAGCUGGUCUGAGAGGACGAUCAGCCACACUGGCACUGCGACACGGG
RNAcentral lists this ribosomal RNA (311 nucleotides) under uncultured bacterium. Its description in RNAcentral is "bacterial SSU rRNA". It matches the Rfam family "Bacterial small subunit ribosomal RNA", at positions 29 to 330 of the family's 1533-position model. The record is from RNAcentral.